RNAcentral lists this ribosomal RNA (436 nucleotides) under uncultured bacterium. RNAcentral's name for it is "partial 16S ribosomal RNA". It matches the Rfam family "Bacterial small subunit ribosomal RNA", at positions 28 to 507 of the family's 1533-position model. The record is from RNAcentral.
GAUGAACGCUGGCGGUCUGCUUAACACAUGCAAGUCGAACGGGCUCUCUCGGGAGCUUGUGGCGGACGGGUGGGUAACGCGGGAGAAUCUGCCCUUUGGAGGGGGAUAACGGUUGGAAACGACCGCUAAUACCCCAUGUGCCGAGAGGAAAACAGUAAUCCGCCAAGGGAUGGGCUGGCGUCGGCUUAGCUAGCUGGAGGGGUAAGAGCGCACCAAGGCGACGAUCCGUAGCGGGUCUAAGAGGAUGACCGGCCACACUGGGACGGAGACACGGCGCAGACUCCUACGGGAGGCAGCAGUGAGGAAGUUUCCGCAAUGGGCGCAAGGCUGACGGAGCAAGACCGCGGGAGGGAAGACGGUCUGUGGAUUAAAAGCCUCUUUUGACAGGGAAGCAGUACUGACGGUACCUGUCGAAUCAGCCUCGGCUAACUCCGUG